CCUACGGGAGGCUGCAGUGAGGAAUAUUGGUCAAUGGGCGGAAGCCUGAACCAGCCAAGUCGCGUGAGGGAAUAAGGCCCUACGGGUCGUAAACCUCUUUUGCCGGGGAGCAAGGGCGGGGACGUGUCCCGGCCCGGAGAGUACCCGGAGAAAAAGCAUCGGCUAACUCCGUGCCAGCAGCCGCGGUAAUACGGAGGAUGCGAGCGUUAUCCGGAUUUAUUGGGUUUAAAGGGUGCGUAGGCGGUAUGUCAAGUCAAGGGUGAAAUCCCCGCGCUCAACGUGGGAACUGCCUUUGAAACUGGCAAACUGGAGUGUGUGAGAGGAUAGUGGAAUUCCAGGGGUAGGAGUGAAAUCCGUAGAUAUCUGGAGGAACAUCAGUGGCGAAGGCGACUAUCUGGCACAUAACUGACGCUGAGGAGCGAAAGCGUGGGUAGCAAACAGGAUUAGAGACCCUAGUAGUC
This 461-nucleotide ribosomal RNA is filed under the name uncultured bacterium. RNAcentral's name for it is "partial 16S ribosomal RNA". It matches the Rfam family "Bacterial small subunit ribosomal RNA", at positions 338 to 795 of the family's 1533-position model. The record is from RNAcentral.